Molecule: non-coding RNA, 288 nt
Organism: Leptosomus discolor (cuckoo roller)
Lineage: Eukaryota; Metazoa; Chordata; Aves; Leptosomiformes; Leptosomidae
Source: RefSeq, a predicted model, not a curated record
GGCACUCAGUGUUACUGAAACUCUGAUCAAACCUUUGGAAAGAUUUAGGAAAGAGCAGCUAGGAGCUGUAAAGGAGGAAAAGAAGAAGUUUGAUAAAGAGACAGAGAAGAACUACAGUUUGUUAGAAAAGCACUUGAAUUUAUCAGCUAAGAAGAAAGAGCUACAAUUACAAGAGGCAGAUAACCAAGUGGAGCAGAAUAGAAAACACUUCUAUGAGCUGUCCCUCGAGUAUGUAUGCAAGUUGCAAGAGAUACAGGAGCGGAAGAAAUUUGAGUGUGUGGAACCUGU